This 172-nucleotide small RNA is filed under the name Sulfobacillus thermosulfidooxidans. RNAcentral describes it as "Magnesium sequence". It matches the Rfam family "M-box riboswitch aptamer (ykoK leader)". Rfam says of the family: M-box riboswitch, also know as ykoK leader is described as a metaloregulatory RNA that sense divalent metals and function as a genetic control element of genes related to divalent metal transport in bacteria. It was first reported upstream of the B.subtilis ykoK gene and genes with related functions in other bacteria. Phylogenetic analysis of the distribution of M-box RNAs across bacterial genomes revealed that M-box riboswitches are most often employed for the regulation of Mg2+ transporter genes Lineage: Bacteria; Bacillati; Bacillota; Clostridia; Eubacteriales; Clostridiales Family XVII. Incertae Sedis. The record is from RNAcentral. RNAcentral also lists the same sequence under 1 other name.
UAAAGUCCUCGUUAGGCGAGGCGUCUACAUCAACACAGGCCACUGCUCCGAACCGUCCAAAGACGCUAAGGAGUAGAACAGAGGUUGCCGGAUUAAGGCUUCUUCCAAGGUGGCUGAAUCUUAUCAAGGUUCUCACGUGAUGUAGUGCCGAAGCUCCACCAGGGGGAUUACG